GUGAACGCUGGCGGUAGGCCUAACACAUGCAAGUCGCACGGCAGCACAGUAAGAGCUUGCUCUUACGGGUGGCGAGUGGCGGACGGGUGAGGAAUACAUCGGAAUCUACUUUUUCGUGGGGGAUAACGUAGGGAAACUUACGCUAAUACCGCAUACGACCUACGGGUGAAAGCAGGGGAUCUUCGGACCUUGCGCGAUUGAAUGAGCCGAUGUCGGAUUAGCUAGUUGGCGGGGUAAAGGCCCACCAAGGCGACGAUCCGUAGCUGGUCGGAGAGGAUGAGCAGCCACACUGGAACUGAGACACGGUCCAGACUCCUACGGGAGGCAGCAGUGGGGAAUAUUGGACAAUGGGCGCAAGCCUGAUCCAGCCAUACCGCGUGGGUGAAGAAGGCCUUCGGGUUGUAAAGCCCUUUUGUUGGGAAAGAAAAGCAGCAGGUUAAUACCCCGCUGUUCUGACGGUACCCAAAGAAUAAGCACCGGCUAACUUCGUG
RNAcentral lists this ribosomal RNA (491 nucleotides) under uncultured bacterium. RNAcentral's name for it is "partial 16S ribosomal RNA". It matches the Rfam family "Bacterial small subunit ribosomal RNA", at positions 29 to 507 of the family's 1533-position model. The record is from RNAcentral.